AAAUGUCGAUAUUGAUUAACGUUCUGGGAGAAUCACAACCAGUAGAAAUGAGAAAAACAUCGCAGAUGUGAAUGGAGGUUGUC
Octopus sinensis (East Asian common octopus) is the source of this 83-nucleotide long non-coding RNA. RefSeq lists it as uncharacterized. The record is from RefSeq and is a predicted model, not a curated record. The transcript has 3 exons. Lineage: Eukaryota; Metazoa; Mollusca; Cephalopoda; Octopoda; Octopodidae.